Dasypus novemcinctus (nine-banded armadillo) is the source of this 107-nucleotide small nuclear RNA. The record is from Ensembl. Lineage: Eukaryota; Metazoa; Chordata; Mammalia; Cingulata; Dasypodidae.
GUGCUUGCUUUGGCAGUACAUAUACUAAAAUUGGAACGAUACAGAGAAGAUUAGCAUGGCGCCUACACAAUGGUGACAUGCAAAUUUGUGAAGCAUUCCAUAUUUUU